Long non-coding RNA from Peromyscus eremicus (cactus mouse), 301 nucleotides. RefSeq lists it as uncharacterized. The transcript has 3 exons. The record is from RefSeq and is a predicted model, not a curated record. Lineage: Eukaryota; Metazoa; Chordata; Mammalia; Rodentia; Cricetidae.
ACUUUCUCCCUAUACAGGCAGGUGCUGUGGAGGCUGCUGGGGAGAGAAGUCGCCAACAGUCUUAGCUAUCUGUGUACCCUGUGGGUCGCAGUAAGGACCAGUGUGGCAAAACAGCCCCCUGGGAGCAACAGAGGUACUAGUGUCGAUCUGUUUACAUUUCCGUAAAGUUCAACUUCCUGUUAUUUCCACAGGCAGCAGGACACACAACACAUCACGAUGGAGGAGGGGCUGAUGGACACAGAGCCUACCACCAGGGAACUGGAGAGAAGUGGUAAUGAACAGCUGAGGGGAAACUUCUUCU